RNAcentral lists this ribosomal RNA (253 nucleotides) under uncultured bacterium. RNAcentral describes it as "partial 16S ribosomal RNA". It matches the Rfam family "Bacterial small subunit ribosomal RNA", at positions 524 to 776 of the family's 1533-position model. The record is from RNAcentral.
UACGGAGGGUGCAAGCGUUAUCCGGAUUCACUGGGUUUAAAGGGUGCGUAGGUGGAUUAGUAAGUCAGUGGUGAAAUCUCCGGGCUUAACCCGGAAACUGCCAUUGAUACUAUUAGUCUUGAAUACCGUGGAGGUCAGCGGAAUAUGUCAUGUAGCGGUGAAAUGCUUAGAUAUGACAUAGAACACCCAUUGCGAAGGCAGCUUACUACACGAUCAUUGACGCUGAGGCACGAAAGCGUGGGGAGCAAACAGG